UUUUUUUGGGCGGGUUUUUAGGGUUUGAAAUCAUGGCUCAGAUUGAACGCUGGCGGCAGGCCUAACACAUGCAAGUCGAGCGGUAGAGAGAAGCUUGCUUCUCUUGAGAGCGGCGGACGGGUGAGUAAUGCCUAGGAAUCUGCCUGGUAGUGGGGGAUAACGCUCGGAAACGGACGCUAAUACCGCAUACGUCCUACGGGAGAAAGCAGGGGACCUUCGGGCCUUGCGCUAUCAGAUGAGCCUAGGUCGGAUUAGCUAGUUGGUGAGGUAAUGGCUCACCAAGGCGACGAUCCGUAACUGGUCUGAGAGGAUGAUCAGUCACACUGGAACUGAGACACGGUCCAGACUCCUACGGGAGGCAGCAGUGGGGAAUAUUGGACAAUGGGCGAAAGCCUGAUCCAGCCAUGCCGCGUGUGUGAAGAAGGUCUUCGGAUUGUAAAGCACUUUAAGUUGGGAGGAAGGGCAGUUACCUAAUACGUAUCUGUUUUGACGUUACCGACAGAAUAAGCACCGGCUAACUCUGUGCCAGCAGCCGCGGUAAUACAGAGGGUGCAAGCGUUAAUCGGAAUUACUGGGCGUAAAGCGCGCGUAGGUGGUUUGUUAAGUUGGAUGUGAAAUCCCCGGGCUCAACCUGGGAACUGCAUUCAAAACUGACAAGCUAGAGUAUGGUAGAGGGUGGUGGAAUUUCCUGUGUAGCGGUGAAAUGCGUAGAUAUAGGAAGGAACACCAGUGGCGAAGGCGACCACCUGGACUGAUACUGACACUGAGGUGCGAAAGCGUGGGGAGCAAACAGGAUUAGAUACCCUGGUAGUCCACGCCGUAAACGAUGUCAACUAGCCGUUGGGAGCCUUGAGCUCUUAGUGGCGCAGCUAACGCAUUAAGUGACCGCCUGGAGUCGCGACGGG
This 905-nucleotide ribosomal RNA is filed under the name Pseudomonas sp. DP_00029. Its description in RNAcentral is "bacterial SSU rRNA". It matches the Rfam family "Bacterial small subunit ribosomal RNA", at positions 1 to 889 of the family's 1533-position model. The record is from RNAcentral. Lineage: Bacteria; Pseudomonadati; Pseudomonadota; Gammaproteobacteria; Pseudomonadales; Pseudomonadaceae.